ACUGACUGCUAUCCGGAUUGAUACUAAGCCAUGACGAGUCAUUGUAGUAAUACAAGGCAGACGGCUCAGUAACGCGUAGUCAACCUAACCUAUGGACGGGAAUAACCUCGGGAAACUGAGUAUAAUGCCCGAUAGAACAUUAUGCCUGGAAUGGUUUAUGUUCCAAAUGAUUUAUCGCUGUAGGAUGGGACUGCGGCCUAUCAGUUUGUUGGUGAGGUAAUGGCCCACCAAGACUAUUACGGGUACGGGCUCUGAGAGGAGUAGCCCGGAGAUGGGUACUGAGACACGGACCCAGGCCCUAUGGGGCGCAGCAGGCGAGAAAACUUUGCAAUGUGCGAAAGCACGACAAGGUUAAUCCGAGUGGUUUCUGCUAAAGGAACCUUUUGUCGGUCCUAGAAACACCGAUGAAUAAGGGGUGGGCAAGUUCUGGUGUCAGCCGCCGCGGUAAAACCAGCACCUCAAGUGGUCAGGAUGAUUAUUGGGCCUAAAGCAUCCGUAGCCGGCUCUGUUAGUUUUCGGUUAAAUCUGUACGCUCAACGUACAGGCUGCCGGGAAUACUGCAGAGCUAGGGAGUGGGAGAGGUAGACGGUACUCGGUAGGAAGGGGUAAAAUCCUUUGAUCUAUUGAUGACCACCUGUGGCGAAGGCGGUCUACCAGAACACGUCCGACGGUGAGGGAUGAAAGCUGGGGGAGCAAACCGGGAUUAGAUACCCGGGUAGUCCCAGCUGUAAACUAUGCAAACUCAGUGAUGCAUUGGCUUGUGGCCAAUGCAGUGCUGCAGGGAAGCCGUUAAGUUUGCCGCCUGGGAAGUACGUACGCAAGUAUGAAACUUAAAGGAAUUGGCGGGGGAGCAC
RNAcentral lists this ribosomal RNA (854 nucleotides) under uncultured marine archaeon. RNAcentral describes it as "bacterial SSU rRNA". It matches the Rfam family "Archaeal small subunit ribosomal RNA", at positions 21 to 879 of the family's 1478-position model. The record is from RNAcentral.